GGAAACUGUAGCUCAAAUGGAAGAGUGUGGCCUCCGAAGCCAAGGGAUGUAGGUUCGAAUCCUACCAGUUUCCACCA
This 77-nucleotide transfer RNA is filed under the name Aureispira sp. RNAcentral describes it as "tRNA-Arg". It matches the Rfam family "tRNA". Rfam says of the family: Transfer RNA (tRNA) molecules are approximately 80 nucleotides in length. The record is from RNAcentral. Lineage: Bacteria; Pseudomonadati; Bacteroidota; Saprospiria; Saprospirales; Saprospiraceae. RNAcentral also lists the same sequence under 1 other name.